This 107-nucleotide transfer RNA is filed under the name Kwoniella mangroviensis CBS 8507. RNAcentral's name for it is "tRNA-Met". The record is from RNAcentral. Lineage: Eukaryota; Fungi; Basidiomycota; Tremellomycetes; Tremellales; Cryptococcaceae. RNAcentral also lists the same sequence under 2 other names.
GCUCUGAUCGAUUAGUUGGUUAAAUCAGAGGUCUCAUAGCAAACAUAAGCUACGAUCCUGAAUUCAGGAGUCAUCCUCAGCCCACAGUUCGAAUCUGUGUCAGAGCA